RNAcentral lists this unclassified non-coding RNA (367 nucleotides) under uncultured fungus. RNAcentral's name for it is "sequence contains ITS1". The stretch from base 1 to 105 matches the Rfam family "5.8S ribosomal RNA", at positions 50 to 154 of the family's 154-position model. Lineage: Eukaryota; Fungi. The record is from RNAcentral.
GAAAUGCGAUACGUAGUGUGAAUUGCAGAAUCACGUGAACCAUCGAAUCUUUGAACGCAAAUUGCGCUCGAUCCUUCGGGAGAGAGCACGUCUGCCUGAGCGACGGCCUUCCCUCUCGACUCCCUUCUCUUCGGAGAAGUCGAUGUCGGACCUGGCCCUCCCAGUCGUCUUGUCUUCGGACUUGCUCGCUGGGUUGGCUGAAGCGCAGAGGCCUAAGCAGGGAGCCCACACCAAAGGGGCACGGCAAGGUAGGUUGCCUAACGGCAGCUCCUUACCCGCCGCUGUCCCGGGAUCCUUUUGCUUGGGCCCAGCAGGAAAGCUUUUAUUUUUCGUCCUCAGUUCAGGCGAGAUUACCCGCUGAACUUAA